UAUCUCUGUAGAGUCUGCAUAUCAAUAAGCGGAGGAAAAGAAACUAACUAGGAUUCCCUUAGUAACGGCGAGUGAAGCGGGAAGAGCUCAAAUUUGAAAUCUUCAAGGUUUUACCUUGACGAAUUGUAGUUUAAAGAAGUGUUUUCUGUUGAGGUUUUGGUAAAAGUUCUUUGGAAUAGGACAUCAUAGAGGGUGAGAAUCCCGUAUUUGACCAUUAUUUCCAGCUUUGUGAUACACUUUCAAAGAGUCGGAUUGUUUGGGAAUGCAGUCCAAAAUGGGUGGUAAAUUUCAUCUAAAGCUAAAUAUUGGCGAGAGACCGAUAGCGAACAAGUACCGUGAGGGAUAGAUGAAAAGAACUUUGAAAAGAGAGUUAAACAGUACGUGAAAUUGUCAAAAGGGAAGCGUUUGACACCAGUGUUGUUUUCUCGAAAAUCAAUUAAAAAAAGUUGGAUUUUGUAUUGUUAAGACCUUAUCAGCUUACUGUACUCCUUUCUUGCUUUUUUUAAUGCACUUUUCGUUUAACAAGUCAACAUCAAUUUCUUUUGUUGUAAAAGAGUCAUUGGAAGGUGGCUUUCACUUCGGUGAAAGUGUUUAUAGCCUUGGCUUCUGCAAUCGGAGAGAUUGAGGUCUGCAGCGUAGAUCCUUCGGGGCUAGAUACGUAGAUGCUAAGUUAUAGUUUUUUAUAGACAACUUGUUGACUAUAAUUAAUCAUGUAGCUUACUCGUUUGCGCUAUUUUACCUACGCUUAGGAUGUUGACGAUCAGCUGAGCGCG
Molecule: ribosomal RNA, 773 nt
Filed under: uncultured Neocallimastigales
Lineage: Eukaryota; Fungi; Neocallimastigomycota; Neocallimastigomycetes; Neocallimastigales
Description: partial large subunit ribosomal RNA
Rfam family: Eukaryotic large subunit ribosomal RNA
Source: RNAcentral